AGUAGGCUACUUCCUGCUCAACUGAACAUUUAUUUUAAAGAGUAGGGGGUGAAUUAAUGCAUUAUUCAUAGCUUUAAAGGCCAACUGAUCUUCUGAAGUAUGCUCUGAACUAGAGUGAAUGUGAUUCUCUGCAUGGGGUCACCAUUUUUAUUCAUUUGGAAAAGGAGGAGGAGGAGAAAAAGAGCCAAUCAGAUCUCCAUGAAGAGAACAGAUAGCUGUGGCCUCAUGAUAUUCAAGGUAACAAGCAGUGACCUGAUGAAUUGAAGUAACCUGAGGAACAUGGCCUGAUACUUUUACCAAUACAAAUGUCUCUGCUAUUUCGGGCCGAGCAGCAGUGCCUUAUUAACAUUUGCUCAGGUAUUAAAUUCACAUUCAUGCUUGAAGUAAACAUGCAUCUAUUAUAAAGAGAGAUGACUCCCAUGAUGAAUAUGAUAUCGCAAAUAAACGAGCCACUGAGGGCUAGGGACCUUGCCCUGUGGCACAGCAGUCAUGGCUUGGUGGACCUGGGAUUUGAAAUUGCAACCUUCCAAUCAGUAGUCCAACACCUUAACCACUAAGCUACCCCAUCCCCAAAGACAAGAUGUGCUGAUUAUA
Tachysurus vachellii is the source of this 594-nucleotide long non-coding RNA. RefSeq lists it as uncharacterized. The record is from RefSeq and is a predicted model, not a curated record. Lineage: Eukaryota; Metazoa; Chordata; Actinopteri; Siluriformes; Bagridae. The transcript is spliced from 4 exons.